GAAGGCUCUUGCCUGUGAGCCACAUGAGAUGCGGCAAUGCUGAUUGCCCUAUGGUAGGAGCUUUCCACAUUGUCAGGCAUGGGGGGCCACCCUCAGGCUUAGCUUCCGGGAACAGUGUCCAAAACCACUCCCCAAAGCAGAGGGGGCUAAGGGUGAAGCAAUGACUAUGGCAGCCACGUGCAGGGGACUCCACCUCACAGGAGACUCGACCCCCACAGGAAGACACCCACUCGAUAGGGAGACUACAUCACAGGAGGCUCUAGUUGCUCUGAUCCAGAAUCAACAGCCACAGCAGCCAUACCCAGAAGGUCCCAGGUCCUGCAGACAAGAAGGCAAUUCGGUUCAAAAUGACUCAUAGCUGUUGUUGGUUCAAACUUUGGGAGUCUAACCUCGACUAGUUUAUUUCAGGUCUAUUUAAGUGUGGCACCAUCUGAUGAGAAGUUUUCCUGGUGACAACUGACUCAAUCCCGCGUGCACAGCAAAGCUUAAUACAAGACUAUAUCGAAACGCUAUGUAAAGUACAACUCACGUCUUCCGUAGAGAUGGGUUCUCCAGAUUAACUGAGAAGAUAGCCUCAAGACAAGGGUAUGGGGGAGGGAAGGCUGGCCACACAAACAGUGCAAAGGCCACCAGGUUGUUUAGCCUUAUCUGCUCCCAGCCUUCUGGGCACAAAACAGGUCACACAUCUCUCUUUGAGGAGACAACCCCGAAUGUUUAACAUUCCUGGUUCCCCUGGUGUUUAUCUGUGAGCACAGAGGGACCAAUGCGCCUCCUACACACACACACACACACACACACACACACACACACACACCCAUGCUGGAAUCAGUGGUCCUGGCAGCACAGUGUGUUCCCAGUUAGCGCCCUCUCUUAGAGUGUGCCUCACCGUGGUGGAGCCCACCGCUGCCUGUGCCCUGAUGGCAAAGGAGGCUGGGUGAACUAUUUAUUAGGUCACUUUCCCAUCCACGAGGCUGUCUGGUUAGUUUUUUGUUUUGUUUUGUUUUGUUUUUGUUUGUUUGUUUGUUUGUUUGUUUUAUGUCAGUCAGACACAAGCUAGUGUCAUCUGAGAAGAGGGAACCGAGGUUGGGAAAAUGUCCCCGUCAGAUGGAACUGUAGGCCAAGCCUGUGGGACAUUUUCAGGGUUGAUGAUUACUGUGGGAGGGCCCAGGCAACUGUGGGCGCUGCCACCUAUGGACAGGUGGUCCUGGCUGCUGGAAGGAAGCAAACUGAGCAAGUCAUGAGGGGGCAGGCCAGUGAGCAGUGUUCUCAAUGGUUUCUGCAUCCGUUUCUGCCUCUGGGUUCCUGCCUUGAGUUCCCUGAUGGACUGUGAUCAGGAUAUGUGAGGUGAAAUUAACCCUUUCCUUCCUCCCCAAGUUGCCUUUGGUCAUGGUUGCUUAUCAGAGCAACAGAAACCUGACUAAGACCUGACUAAGGCCUAUGAGGUGGGAAUUCUUUGACAACACGGGCAUUUGAAGAGCUGGGGUGCCAGCCUAGGACACCAGCGGCCAUGCCUCUGCCUGUCAAGCAGGAACAAACUGAAGUUCCUGAAAAGACCUGCAAGGCUGAGUCACUGACUGGGGAGAGAUGGGAAUGUUUCGGACCCAGAGCCAAAUUAUCUCGUGCUAUCUCUAACCCCUCGGCAAGCUGCUAUUCAUUGCCCUCCUCUGUGUCCUUAUGACUAUCUCGUGACACCUUGGGAUGUGUUAACAGACCCCUAUCCUCCCCUCAACCCCAAAGCUAAGAAUGUCAUCAGACAGCCUCUGAGGUCAAAGCAAUCCUGCCUUUGUGGAACUCCGCCUACCUGAUCUUCCCAUCAUUGUGUUUGAAAAGUGUGCUGAUUUACGAUUUUCUUUGUUCUGCUACUGUGAGAACUUUAUGCAACCAUUUCAUACAGGCUUCACUCAUACUUGACUCCAGAAUAACCGCCUAUUCCCUUUGAAGGUACUGUUUUUCAGUCAGCAGGCUCUUCAGAGCAGGGGGCCCUUGGCUGGGCAUGUAAAGGGUUACCGCCCUGGGCCACUGGGUCCCACAGAAACAGGAGCAGGACACCAUCUCUGCACUGGGCUAUGGGCAGAAAACAGGCCCUUAAGCAGGUGUGUGGGGGGGGGGGUUUACAGUGGCCUGGCCAGCAGAGGAGAGGAGUGGCUAGAGGACGCCCAGAUUCCUUUCUGCCUGCCUGUCCCCCAUGCGUCAGCAGCACGGAAAUGCUGGUUUCCUGGAAGAUUGCAGCUCCCCGCAGCUGGCUGGGUGAGCCACUGGGGAGAAAGCAAACAGGAAGACCAGGACCUUGGCUGGUGGGCUGGUGGCCGGGCCUUUCUUCCUCCUAUCUCCUGCGUUCCACCCAGGCACACUCAUUAACUUAGAAUUUGCUGCUUGGGAAAGAAGAGGCCUCCGACUUCAUAAACAUCUCCUUUGAAAUGCAAAGUUAUUGUUGCAGAAACAGAAGGGAAAGACGACCAACUGGCUGAUGACUGCAGAAGAAAGAACAAACAAACGGGAAGGGGGCCUGGACACAAGAACUCAUGAGAGGUGCUGCAUUAUACUCAGAGGAAGAGAACUCACAUCUCCUGAGACACGGGGAUACAAAGGAAGGGUCGCUGUCCCCCAGUUUAUUACCAUUAGGUCAUGACCCUUGGCCCUCCUGUCAUAGUCCUCCCUGGCGAAUACCCUUCCUCGAACCCUGGCAUGAAACACAACGCACCUGUCUCUCCGGGUCUUCCUUUCCUUGUGAAGCUUCCUGUAAAACUUAGAGAUGGGGAUGGAGAGAUGGCUCGGUGGUUAAGAGCAUUGGCUGUUUAUGCAGAGGGACCUAGAUUCUGACCCCAGUAUCCACAGGCUGCUCACAACCCUCUGUAACUCUGGUUCCAGGGCAUCCGAUGCCCUCUUCUGACCUCCAUGAGCACUGCGUGCAUGUGGCAUACAAACAUACAUGAAGGCAAAACACCCAAUGCACAUGAAAUAAAAAUAAAUUUAACAACAUUAAAAUCCUACAUGAAACCAACCACUCAGAAGGUAGAGGCAGGUGUAUCUCUGUGAGUUCAAGGCCAGCCUGGUCUACAGAGAGAGUUCCAGCACAGCCAGGGUU
Long non-coding RNA from Meriones unguiculatus (Mongolian gerbil), 3085 nucleotides. RefSeq lists it as uncharacterized. The transcript has 3 exons. The record is from RefSeq and is a predicted model, not a curated record. Lineage: Eukaryota; Metazoa; Chordata; Mammalia; Rodentia; Muridae.